RNAcentral lists this unclassified non-coding RNA (2910 nucleotides) under Acyrthosiphon pisum (pea aphid). RNAcentral describes it as "matrix metalloproteinase-16, transcript variant X1". The record is from RNAcentral. Lineage: Eukaryota; Metazoa; Arthropoda; Insecta; Hemiptera; Aphididae.
GGCUGCAGAGUCGUGACGAACCUCGCAGGCACUCGGGGAUCGCCCGUCGUUUUCUUGGUUUUUUUUUUUAUUUAAAAUCGUUUUUUCGACGCGAGUCCCACAUGAAAACUAGCACGUAAACCGUGAUUUGUUUUCGUUCCCGAGAUCGAUCGUUUUGACGUGCGAAAAUUGUAUUGCCAGUCGAAUCGAGCGUAGCUGAGGUCCACACACGAUACCGUGUUAUAAUAUUAUUAUAAUCGUAUUCACGAGAAAAUCGAAAUUUCGCGAAAAUUCCAAUAGCAGAGAAGUUCGCGAAAACGCACGAAACUAUAUUAUAUUUUGACAUACCGAUAACGCCGCAUCGCGUACGACAUCAUGGCCACCUGUAAAUCUUGUAACGCGCUGAUGAGCUCUCUAGUCCUGCUGUUAUCCUGCGUGCUGCGAUGUACGGUUGCGGUUCAGACGGACGCACAAGCAAUGAUGUAUUUAUCUCAAUUUGGUUACUUAAGCCCUUCGAUGAAAAAUCCGAAUUCAGGUCAUAUCAUGUCUGAGGAAACAAUGGCCCGGGCGUUAAUGGAGUUUCAAUCAUUCGUUGGUCUAAAUCUGACAGGUCACUUGGAUGACGAAACGCUACACUAUAUGAGUAUGCCUAGAUGUGGUGUAAGAGAUAAAGUCGGGUUUGCCACAGACUCCAGGUCUAGGAGAUAUGCUCUACAAGGUAGCCGGUGGAGGGUGAAAGACUUGACGUAUAAAAUAUCCAAGUAUCCUAAACUGCUGGGUAAGUCGGAAACGGACUCGGAAAUCCGGAAAGCAUUCGACGUAUGGUCUGACGUCACACCGUUGACGUUUACUCACAAAAAAUCCGGACAAGUGCACAUCGAAAUCAGAUUUGAAAAAGGCGAGCAUGGUGAUGGUGAUCCAUUCGACGGACCAGGUGGAACUUUGGCACAUGCUUUCUUUCCGGUUUACGGGGGUGAUGCUCAUUUUGAUGACUCAGAAAAAUGGUCAAUAGGUUCAUUUAAAGGUACUAACUUGUUUCAAGUAGCAGCUCAUGAAUUCGGUCACUCAUUAGGAUUGUCUCACUCAGACGUCCGGUCGGCAUUAAUGGCUCCAUUUUAUAGAGGUUAUAAUCCGUCAUUUAAUUUGGACAGCGACGAUGUGGAAGCCAUUCAGGCUCUGUACGGCGCUAGCACCUCGGGAGAAUCAGACAACGAUGACGACAGCACUAGCCAAGGAUCGGGUAAAAAGACAACAACGCAAGAACCACCGGGCACAGAGGGCAGUGACGCUGAAUUAUGCACAGACACUAAAGUGAACGCUUUGUUCAAUUCGGCCGCCGGUGAAACUUUUGUGUUUAAAGGUGAUUACUAUUGGAAGUUGACGGACGACGGACUGGCUCAAGGAUUUCCCAAGUCCAUCGCGGGCACGUGGUCUGGCCUGCCGGGCAACAUAGACGCCGCGUUUACGUAUAAAAACGGUAAAACUUACUUCUUCAAAGGCACAAAGUAUUGGAAGUACACUGAUACCACGAUGGACGACGGAUAUCCAAAAGACAUAAGCGACGGCUUCGCCGGUAUCCCAGACAAUGUUGACGCCGCUCUUGUUUGGAGUGGAAACGGAAAGAUUUACUUUUUCAAAGGCUCAAAGUUCUGGAAAUUCGACCCGAUGCAAAAGCCCCCUGUAAAGAGCACGUAUCCGAAGCCUAUCAGCAACUGGGAUGGUAUACCGGAUAACAUUGACGCGGUUUUGCAUUACACCAAUGGCUAUACAUAUUUUUUCAAAGAUGAGAACUAUUACAGGUUCAACGACAGGACGUUUGCAGUCGAUACUGCAGACCCACCUUUCCCUCGCAAUGCUGGUUAUUGGUGGUUUGGCUGUAGGGCUGAAAAUAAGGGACAUCGGCAAGAAGUGACCGCAGCGCCCAGCAUACUCAGACCAACGUGGAUGGAAGUCAGGCGGGAUCACAAGGGCAAUCAAAAUACGGAUGUUGGUGAUCUAAUAAUGGACGCAGCUGUGUAAGCAAGUGGUUCGGUGCUGAACGGUUCGCUCGCAUUAUGGAUAUCGGUAUGCUGGUAUGCUGAAGAAGAUAGUGGCCACACCGGUAUUUUGAAAAUGUGAAACUGUGCGGGGGACCGCAUCGAUUUAUUAUAUUGUUUGUUGAAUGUUUUGGACACGGUGUAAUACCUUACCUACACGUCAAGUGCCGAAUACAACUACCGAACCUACCGAGUUAUUGACCGACUGCAGCGCCGCCGUGCCGGAGGCCUGUUUUUGUAUACAUCGGUAUAACACCUAUACAAAUAUGAAAAAACAAAUAAUAAUUGUUAUUAGGAUUCAAAAGGCCCUUGUACUGCCUUUAGUAUUUAUUCCGAACUUUGAAUGUACGAGUUCAGGGUCGACUUUCUUAAAGAGACUGAAUUUUACACAUCGUUAUAUAAUAUUAUAUGUACCCAUUUAUUUAAGCUAAUGUCAUUAUAUAUAGUUUUUAUAGUAAAUAUUAUUAUUAUUUUAUUGUAAUAUACGUAGGUAUAUGUACGUUUGUUUUGUUUGAAAAUUAAUAUUAUUCUCAUUCCUUGUAGACAUGAUAUUAUUUUGUAUUUUAUUUUAAUAAUAAUAAUUAUCUCGUGAAACAAUAUUAUGUUGCAUUUAUAUAUUAUUUAGUAUAUAUUGUUCAACUUUUACAAUUUUCGAAUGAAAUUUGAAAUAUUGUUUGAAAAUAUAGAAGAUGUAACUACUGAUUUAAGUGUAUUUUAUUCUAGAAUCAUCGACUCGUUUUUGUAGUUAAAAACAAUGAAUAAUUUGAACGUCUUAAACGGAAGAAAAUAUUACAAAAUACUUAUUUAUCAAUCACCUUGUCUUAAAGUGUAUUAACAAUGUAAUUGUAUUAAGCUUGUUAUAUUAUUUAAAAUAUAGUGGUUGCUCCUAGUAAAA